AUUGAACGCUGGCGGCAGGCUUAACACAUGCAAGUCGAGCGGAGAGAGGUAGCUUGCUACUGAUCUUAGCGGCGGACGGGUGAGUAAUGCUUAGGAAUCUGCCUAUUAGUGGGGGACAACAUUUCGAAAGGAAUGCUAAUACCGCAUACGUCCUACGGGAGAAAGCAGGGGAUCUUCGGACCUUGCGCUAAUAGAUGAGCCUAAGUCGGAUUAGCUAGUUGGGGGGGUAAAGGCCUACCAAGGCGACGAUCUGUAGCGGGUCUGAGAGGAUGCUCCGCCACACUGGGACUGAGACACGGCCCAGACUCCUACGGGAGGUAGCAGUGGGGAAUAUUGGACAAUGGGCGGAAGCCUGAUCCAGCCAUGCCGCGUGUGUGAAGAAGGCCUUAUGGUUGUAAAGCACUUUAAGCGAGGAGGAGGCUACUUUAGUUAAUACCUAGAGAUAGUGGACGUUACUCGCAGAAUAAGCACCGGCUAACUCUGUGCCAGCAGCCGCCGUAA
This 501-nucleotide ribosomal RNA is filed under the name uncultured bacterium. RNAcentral's name for it is "partial 16S ribosomal RNA". It matches the Rfam family "Bacterial small subunit ribosomal RNA", at positions 30 to 523 of the family's 1533-position model. The record is from RNAcentral.